GGCGCGUUGGCAGAGUGGUGAUGCAGCGGAUUGCAAAUCCGCCAACCUCGGUUCAAUUCCGGGACGCGCCU
This 71-nucleotide transfer RNA is filed under the name Pantoea sp. Aalb. It matches the Rfam family "tRNA". Rfam says of the family: Transfer RNA (tRNA) molecules are approximately 80 nucleotides in length. Their secondary structure includes four short double-helical elements and three loops (D, anti-codon, and T loops). Further hydrogen bonds mediate the characteristic L-shaped molecular structure. tRNAs have two regions of fundamental functional importance: the anti-codon, which is responsible for specific mRNA codon recognition, and the 3' end, to which the tRNAs corresponding amino acid is attached (by aminoacyl-tRNA synthetases). tRNAs cope with the degeneracy of the genetic code in two manners: having more than one tRNA (with a specific anti-codon) for a particular amino acid; and 'wobble' base-pairing, i.e. permitting non-standard base-pairing at the 3rd anti-codon position. The record is from Rfam by way of RNAcentral. Lineage: Bacteria; Pseudomonadati; Pseudomonadota; Gammaproteobacteria; Enterobacterales; Erwiniaceae.